RNAcentral lists this long non-coding RNA (440 nucleotides) under Gallus gallus (chicken). Lineage: Eukaryota; Metazoa; Chordata; Aves; Galliformes; Phasianidae. The record is from RNAcentral.
UGCAGGGACACGAGUGUUCACAUGCACAGAGCUGCUGGCAGUUGGGCCCAUACCAGCCCAUGGGACAUGCAUGCUCACAGCUGGUGCCAUAGUACCCGGCCGGGCAGGAGCAGGCUCCAUGCACAGGGUCACACAAGCCACCAUUCUGGCACUGGCAUUUCUGGCUGCAAGCAUUCCCAUAGAAGCCGCUCGCACAAGCUUCGCUGCAGUUGCUGCCAACCCAGCCGGCAUCACACAGGCAUCCAGAGGCGGUGCAGGUACCAUGCAGGCUGCAGUUGGAAGGGCCACAGUCCAACGUGUCACAGGCUGGGCCUCUCCAGAAGUCCCCAGCACAGUGGCACUGCCCCUGCACGCAGUCCCCGUGGCCGCUGCAGUCUGCAGGCUCACAGGCAGGCUCGUGGACACACACAAUGGUUGAGAUGCUCCGAGGGCAUCGCCAC